This 111-nucleotide non-coding RNA is filed under the name Alexandrium tamarense. The record is from RNAcentral. Lineage: Eukaryota; Dinophyceae; Gonyaulacales; Pyrocystaceae.
GCCGCGGCAGCAAGGCGGCCAAGGCAACCGCCGCCCCGAGCAACGCCAAGGAAGAGGUGAAGAAGGCACAGAAGGCCACUGUGGCGGAGCUGGAGAAGAUGCUGGAGGGCA